Molecule: long non-coding RNA, 437 nt
Organism: Pan paniscus (pygmy chimpanzee)
Lineage: Eukaryota; Metazoa; Chordata; Mammalia; Primates; Hominidae
Source: Ensembl
GUGAAGAAAGUGUGUGUAUAGGAGUACCAAAUGUAUCCAGAAAAACACAGGACAUCAGAAAGUGGGUCCUGGAAGACACUGUAAGGGCAGGAGACACCUUACCAAGACCUCAUUUAUUUUAACACUUCCUGGGAGACCUUUAUUGUCAAACUCGACCAGAUUUAUUCAACAAACAGCAAUUCAAGAAAGCAGUGGAAAAGAGCUGAGUCACAGUGAAAGUGACAUUUCCCUUUGCAGCUGAAGAAACCACCGGCUGUGAUUAACUGCUUGACUAGUCCUCCAGUGUGAAGGAUCACAAUGGGAUCAAGAAGGCUUGGCUGGGCUAUGAGAAAGAAAAGAACUGAAUCAAAUUGGAGCUGGGGAAACUCAGUUCACAGGAUCCCCUAAAAGUUACAAAUGUCACAAGUGUGAGUGACCAUUCAUUUACUUAAUCAGGC